RNAcentral lists this transfer RNA (71 nucleotides) under Candidatus Pacearchaeota archaeon. RNAcentral describes it as "tRNA-Gly". It matches the Rfam family "tRNA". From Rfam's summary of the family: Transfer RNA (tRNA) molecules are approximately 80 nucleotides in length. Their secondary structure includes four short double-helical elements and three loops (D, anti-codon, and T loops). Lineage: Archaea; Nanobdellati. The record is from RNAcentral.
GCGCCAUUAGUUUAGUGGUAGAACAUGUGGUUGCCAAUCACAGGACGGGAGUUCGAUUCUCCCAUGGCGCA